UGCUGUAGGGGGCGGCAGUGAAGGAUGCGGUUACGGCUCUCCUGCAGAAGAAGACCACACGUUGCCUGGACAACGCUGUACAUCCAGCUUCAUCGUUUAGUUAGCUCUCAGUGAAGAUAAUUCUACAUAAAACGGGUUUAUUCCAGUUAUUCCUUUCAGUGUUUAUUGGAGACUGUGUCUCGCCGAGAUGCUGGGGAAUGGCGUGUUUAGCUAUAGCUAACCCGGAGGCUCACACAGGCAGCGGAUAGAGCGGGUAGUCCGCUCCGGGUAAUGAUAAUAAUAAUGUUAAAAAGAGUGAAAGCCUAAAUGCAAGGCAGUUCCAUUAUGGGCUCUCUCCCUCCCGCUCCCUGCCAUUGUCAUGAUCUCGGUUGGGCUCUACAUGUUAUUCCUGGCUGGUGUCUUAUGGUGUCAUCACUGUCUUAAGGCACAGUGCAAUUCCCAAUGUACAAACUGGUGCCCAAGUACCCAGUCUCCUUUCGAGUACUGUCACAUGUGCGCCCAGUCAUGUGACUGCCGCCCACCAACCCUGAACUCUUGUCUUGACUACUCCUGUCCUACUUCAAACUGUGUCAUGUGGGACUGUGCCUGCACCUGUCAGCCACCAGAGUGUGACUCCAUCAACUGCAUCUGCUUCGAGAUCAAGUUCAAGUAGAGAAGUGGAAGAGGAUGGGGUGGGUUACUGUGUUGUGUAAAUAUGUGGUAUUUACAUUUUCUGAAAACUGCUUUUGUGUUGCAUGUUUACAUCAGUAAUUGCUUUUUUUCCUCUAUUAUUGGAUUUACAUUUCUUUGUAUAUUGGUGUGACUAAUUCUUACAUAUAGGCCUUAUGUUAUCUUAAUGGGGUCUUUUGAAAGAAGAGUUUAUUUCUUACAUUUAACAUGAGCCUUAUUAACAGAGAUCAUCAUCGUGUUUCUGGGCUGAUCUGGGGCUGGAUUUCCCAAAAGCUUUUUAGUACGGUACUAAGAUGAUUCCUAUUAAGAUGAUCGAGUAAGCAUCCCACUGAACACUCUCUCUCCCAAUGCAAGGCGAAACUGUGCCUUGGGCCUUACAGAACAUAAAUACUUGGACAUCCAAAUCUGUAUCUAAAACAAAGUCGACUUCUUUGGCCUUUCUGUUGUUGUUUUUUUCUUAGGUUUAGAUGCUUUUUAGGGCACUUUAGUAAGAACUAAUGUACAUGUCCUGUCUACGCUUUUUAACGUAAAAAGGUGCUUGAAUGUGCAGUGCCAUUAAAAACUUCAUUUAUUUUCCUACACUGUUAAAAAAAAAAAACAUGAAAGGUUCUUUGAGUGAUACCGUUAAAGAAACACUUUUGUAAAAGUGAAUUAUGAAAAGUGUAAAAAACUUUUUAAUGGUUUAAAGAACCUCCACGUUUUUAAUCAUGUAUCCAUUUACUUUUACAAAUAGUUCUUUUAAGAAAUCAUACACAGUUCUUCUAUGGCAUUGCUUAAAGAACCCUUUGAAGCACUUUUAUGUCAAGGAAUCAGUCAUCUUUGUAAAAUAUUUAAAAAGAUUUACAUUAUCGAAAGGUUUUAGGAAGACGCUUCAAAUAGCUGUAAAAUGUUUAUAUUAAAAAAACUUUAGGUUUUAUGUAAUUAGAUCUCUUUAAGGAACCAAAUUUGGCUCUUCUAAGGUAUUGUGCAAGUCACCUUGUGCACUUUUUUUUUUUUUAAGAUUAAGUAGUUGUUAAAAGUGUGUACUGCAGUUACAAUCCAUGGCAUAUCAAGUAAGUACCAGUUUUGUAAUGUAACUUUAGUGUCAAAAAUGUUUUAUUUUUUUAUUUUUAUAUUUAUGGAGAUAUAGACCAUGUCAAAUUUUAAAAUAAACAUUUCAAUUAUU
Molecule: RNA transcript, 1834 nt
Organism: Astyanax mexicanus (Mexican tetra)
Lineage: Eukaryota; Metazoa; Chordata; Actinopteri; Characiformes; Acestrorhamphidae
Exons: 5
Source: RefSeq, a predicted model, not a curated record